CCGGCUUUGAGCUCCUCCGCGGUGGCAGUGUCCAGAAAGGGGUGGCGGGUGUCGAGGUUUGAGGGUUCCCUUUCCUGCAAGGCAGGAUGGACGGAUCAGUCUCCGGGGGUGGGAAGUUCACUACGACUCUUUGCAGAGCAGAAGGAAAUGCAUUCGGAUGCCAGCACCGCUGGAUGCCGGGGAUGGAGAGGCAGCCUGACCCAAGGAGCGCUCCUCCAUAGAGCCAAGCCCCGAGAUUUCCUAGAGGGUGAUGUUGGAAGGCCGUCGAAUGCUGAGAUACACCUGCUGGCAGCACACAACAGCUGCCCCAACCUCUCGGUGUGCACAUUUCUAGCGGCUGGAACAAAG
RNAcentral lists this long non-coding RNA (348 nucleotides) under Cricetulus griseus (Chinese hamster). RNAcentral describes it as "lncRNA (ENSCGRG00015037563.1)". The record is from RNAcentral. Lineage: Eukaryota; Metazoa; Chordata; Mammalia; Rodentia; Cricetidae.